GGAAUUUUGCGCAAUGGGCGCAAGCCUGACGCAGCAACGCCGCGUGGAGGAUGAAGGUUUUCGGAUUGUAAACUCCUGUCCCGGGGGAAGAAGGCAGUGACGGUACCCUGGGAGGAAGCCCCGGCUAACUCCGUGCCAGCAGCCGCGGUAAUACGGGGGGGCGAGCGUUGUUCGGAAUAACUGGGCGUAAAGGGCGCGUAGGCGGCCUGGGCAGUCCUGGGUGAAAGCCCCCGGCUCAACCGGGGAAGGGCCUGGGAAACCACUGGGCUGGAGUGCUGGAGAGGGAGGCGGAAUUCCUGGUGUAGCGGUGAAAUGCGUAGAGAUCAGGAGGAACAUCGGCGGCGAAGGCGGCCUUCUGGACAGACACUGACGCUGAGGCGCGAAAGCCGGGGGAGCAAACAG
RNAcentral lists this ribosomal RNA (402 nucleotides) under uncultured bacterium. RNAcentral describes it as "bacterial SSU rRNA". It matches the Rfam family "Bacterial small subunit ribosomal RNA", at positions 358 to 775 of the family's 1533-position model. The record is from RNAcentral.